UGGGGAAUUUUGGGACAAUGGGGGAAACCCUGAUCCAGCCAUCCCGCGUGUGCGAUGAAGGCCUUCGGGUUGUAAAGCACUUUUGGCAGGAAAGAAACGUCGCGGGUUAAUACCCCGCGAAACUGACGGUACCUGCAGAAUAAGCACCGGCUAACUACGUGCCAGCAGCCGCGGUAAUACGUAGGGUGCAAGCGUUAAUCGGAAUUACUGGGCGUAAAGCGUGCGCAGGCGGUUCGGAAAGAAAGAUGUGAAAUCCCAGAGCUUAACUUUGGGAACUGCAUUUUUGAACUACCGGGGCUAGAGUGUGUCAGAGGGAGGUGGAAUUCCGCGUGUAGCAGUGAAAUGCGUAGAUAUGCGGAGGAACACCGAUGGCGAAGGCAGCCUCCUGGGAUAACACUGACGCUCAUGCACGAAA
RNAcentral lists this ribosomal RNA (415 nucleotides) under uncultured bacterium. RNAcentral's name for it is "partial 16S ribosomal RNA". It matches the Rfam family "Bacterial small subunit ribosomal RNA", at positions 355 to 758 of the family's 1533-position model. The record is from RNAcentral.